This 380-nucleotide ribosomal RNA is filed under the name uncultured eukaryote. RNAcentral's name for it is "SSU rRNA". It matches the Rfam family "Eukaryotic small subunit ribosomal RNA", at positions 587 to 972 of the family's 1831-position model. The record is from RNAcentral.
AGCUCCAAUAGCGUAUAUUAAAGUUGUUGCGGUUAAAAAGCUCGUAGUUGGAUUUCUGUCGAGGACGUCCGGUCCAUCUUUCGGGUGAGUAUCUGGUACGGCCUUGGCAUCCUCUUGGAGAACUAUGCUGCACUUGACUGUGUGGUUAGGGAUUCAAGACUUUUACUUUGAGGAAAUUAGAGUGUUCACGGCAGGCAAACGUCUGAAUACAUUAGCAUGGAAUAAUAAUAUAGGACCUUGGUUCUAUUUUGUUGGUUUCUAGGACUAAGGUAAUGAUUAAUAGGGAUAAUUGGGGGCAUUCGUAUUAACGCGUCAGAGGUGGAAUUCUUGGAUUGCGUUACGACGAACUACUGCGAAAGCAUUUGCCAAGGAUGUUUUCA